Molecule: ribosomal RNA, 468 nt
Filed under: uncultured bacterium
Lineage: Bacteria
Description: partial 16S ribosomal RNA
Rfam family: Bacterial small subunit ribosomal RNA
Source: RNAcentral
GACGAACGCUGGCGGCGUGCUUAACACAUGCAAGUCGAACGGAAAGGCCCUGCUUUUGUGGGGUGCUCGAGUGGCGAACGGGUGAGUAACACGUGAGUAACCUGCCCUUGACUUUGGGAUAACUUCAGGAAACUGGGGCUAAUACCGGAUAGGAGCUCCUGCUGCAUGGUGGGGGUUGGAGAGUUUCGGCGGUUGGGGAUGGACUCGCGGCUUAUCAGCUUGUUGGUGGGGUAGUGGCUUACCAAGGCUUUGACGGGUAGCCGGCCUGAGAGGGUGACCGGCCACAUUGGGACUGAGAUACGGCCCAGACCCCUACGGGAGGCAGCAGUGGGGAAUAUUGCACAAUGGGCGGAAGCCUGAUGCAGCAACGCCGCGUGCGGGAUGACGGCCUUCGGGUUGUAAACCGCUUCCGCCUGUGACGAAGCGUGAGUGACGGUAAUGGGUAAAGAAGCACCGGCUAACUACGUG